UACAGAGGUCCCGAGCGUUGUUCGGAUUCAUUGGGCGUAAAGGGUGCGUAGGUGGCGCCGUAAGUGGGGUGUGAAAUCCCGGGGCUUAACCCCGGGACUGCAUUCCAUACUGCGGUGCUUGAGGACUGGAGAGGAGACUGGAAUUUACGGUGUAGCAGUGAAAUGCGUAGAGAUCGUAAGGAAGACCAGUGGCGAAGGCGGGUCUCUGGACAGUUCCUGACGCUGAGGCACGAAGGUCAGGGGAGCAAACGGG
RNAcentral lists this ribosomal RNA (253 nucleotides) under uncultured bacterium. RNAcentral describes it as "partial 16S ribosomal RNA". It matches the Rfam family "Bacterial small subunit ribosomal RNA", at positions 524 to 776 of the family's 1533-position model. The record is from RNAcentral.